Molecule: unclassified non-coding RNA, 240 nt
Filed under: soil metagenome
Description: partial contains 5.8S ribosomal RNA, internal transcribed spacer 2, and large subunit ribosomal RNA
Source: RNAcentral
AACCAUAGAAACCUGCGGAGUACCUGCGGAAGGAUCAUUACCACACCGAUCCAACGAUCAACACCCCUGUGAAGUUGUGUGUCGUUUUCUUUCUUUUUGAUGAUGAACCUGCCUUUUGCGGAUUUGUCGGGGGAGCUUGCGUUUCGAGGUGAGGAUGGAUCUUUUGUUUGAGAUCGAUCUACACCUUGGGGGCCUGGUUUCUCUUGCGGUCCCGGAGGUGGGGGAACCACAAACACAUAA